GCGCGAGGCGUCGCCCGCCGGGGAGCGCCCCCGGGACCCCACCCCGCAACUCCGACCCGCCCAGCUCGCCACUUGCGCGCUCAUACUGCAGGAGAUCAACCGCAAAAUGCAGUGCGUCACAUGGCAGCCGCAGCCUUAGUUAGUCUCGUGACCACAGCGCCAACAACGACAGAAACGUAGUACGUUUAACGUACCACUUAUCUGGCUGCGUAGGUCUCUCUAUCACUCUUCUAUAUUAGUGCGACAGAGACAGUUGCGUUUCGUUCGCUACGGAGCGUAAAGGCUACGCACCCUGGACUAUAAUCGCGAAAAUAGAAGUUUUCGAGCAACUAUCUCGGUUUCUCUAAGUACGCCUUAAUUAAGAAAGAUGCCAGAUGGCAAACUUCGGUGGUCGCGGUAGGCCCUCUGAGGCGGUUAGUAAAUAUUAACAAGUUGCGUGAUGAUUACGAUACAAGUGCGAAAAGUAGGAAGAACUUUUUAAAUCGACAUAAGUUGCGAAUUAACUAUUCGCAACUGUAUGGUACAACGUUUUACAGAACAUAUGGCCCUGUACAUUUUCGACAUAACCACGAAAAGUGCUAAUUAUUGCACUAGUGCGGUACAGUAUGUAUGGCCCAUAUGUACUGUAAUAGUACAUUACGAUACAAGUGCGAAAAAUAGGAAUUUCGAAACGGGUGGCGAUAAAUUAUACACGACCGAAGGGAGUGUUUUAAAUCGACACGAGUACCUAGGUAUUCAUAUUCAUAUUAUUUCAUUUAAUCAUUUAUUUCGGAUAACAAGACCCAUACAUUACUUAAUUCACAAUAUAAUAAUAAAAACAGAAUUUUUUAAAAAUUAAUAAUUUAAAAAAAAAGUCAUUAAGUAAUUAAUUUAAAGCAUUGUCAAAUCAUAACAUCACUAAUAUUCUUUAUUCACAAUAUUUAUAAUAUUAAAUGUCAUUUUUACAUUAAUAGAAUUUAUUCGCACAUGUAUCGUACAACGUUUUACAAUACAUAUGUCUCUUAUAAUCUAAUCUCUUAGAAUUAUAAUCUACAGCUAGAAAGACAUACAAUAGUACUCAAGUUUUUUUAUUUAUUUACAAAUAAAAAUACGUGUAUUUCAUUACUUUUUACAGCAGUUCAUAAGUAUAAAUAUUAGGUAGGUAAGUAGUCCAUCUUAGGUACAAAGUGUAGGUAAGUAUUUAUCUCAACAAUGUGCAACAAUUUGAUUGUGUGAGUAAUGAAAAAGGCGCGGGUACAGCUUGCUAAACCCGCCCUUGGUCAGCUAAUUGGAGAGAUAUUUAUUUGAUAAAAUACAAAAAUAGAAGCGUGAUAGAGUGGCCAGAAACAAGACAACUAAUUAAUAAUAAUUAAGACAACGGAAAGUAUUUUGACCCAUGUGUUAUAUACUUUCAAUUUCAUUAAGUUUAGUCAAUAAUUACGUGUAUAAAUUAAAUAAUACGAAGUCGCGGGCAACAGCUACUAGGUAUCUUAUGUUUUACAAGCGAGGCCACGAAUGAACAAAGAGCAUAUAAUCACUACGUACGAACGAGCGGCACUAGAGCAAGCACUACACACUUCAGACACAGCCUCAUCAGCACGCCGCACACGCCAGCUAAGCUACCGGUCGCCUUCACCGCGGCCCCGAAACCUGGCCCCGCUCAAACGGUAUCAUCGGCCGUGGGGUUGGAUAACGAUCGGUAGCGAAGAGCUGGCCCACACCAGCCACACACACCGUCCCCCAAAUGACGGCCACUUGACCACCCCACCGGUCGGUGGGGAGCGACCCGCGACAGCCGCCGCAGCCGGAAGGCGGAAGCGGCCCCUCAUACCCCCCUGACGGGGGGUAUCGACAGACAUCCAGUCCAGACGAGCGGCACUUCAGCACCGUGCACGGAGCCGGCGAGACGGGCCGAGAGACUUGCUGAUGAUUCGUGGCGACAGAAAUGUUUACGUCAAAGAUUUUUAACUUUUAUAUCUAACCUACCGAAUUUCAGAUUAAAAGCCAUAUCAUAAAACUGAA
Cydia pomonella (codling moth) is the source of this 2001-nucleotide long non-coding RNA. RefSeq lists it as uncharacterized. The transcript is spliced from 2 exons. The record is from RefSeq and is a predicted model, not a curated record. NCBI's taxonomy places the organism in Eukaryota, Metazoa, Arthropoda, Insecta, Lepidoptera, Tortricidae.